GAACAGUGUCUUGCACCAACUUCCUCACCUCUUCAGCUUCACUGUCAUCUUCAGAACACGUUUGGCUCAUAAUCAUCCUCGACACAACGUUAUUCGAGAGUCUUAGAAGUUCGCCCCCAACAUCAACAGCCUCACCCGCCUUCCCUUUCUUGAGCAUAAGCCUCAGAAACCUUAUCGUCUCUUGUCUCCUCACAGGAAGUAGCUGACUUAACGUGGAACCCCCCAGAAGUUCAGACAUGCAUAUUUUCUUCAUGAACUUCCAAUAAGGUCCAUAUGGCGCAAAAGAGAAGUCCUGGGAGCCGUAUGUCAGAAAAUCAACUGCAGAACUUUGCGGGCGG
This 338-nucleotide long non-coding RNA is filed under the name Vigna radiata. Its description in RNAcentral is "long non-coding RNA (VRAD_LNC002344)". The record is from RNAcentral. Lineage: Eukaryota; Viridiplantae; Streptophyta; Magnoliopsida; Fabales; Fabaceae.